AGGCUCAGACAGUUUUCCAGCCUGCUGCCUCAUCAGCACAUACACACAUCAGUAACUCUCCUGCUCAAACUGGGCCUGCCCUGCCUGCUAUACAUGUGUACGUGAAUCAGGGUGAAAACUUAUACCCACAGGGUCGUGGACGAGGCAGGGAGGCGAUGAGAGGAGGAUUGAUAAGGAGAGGACGAGGGAGAGGAGGACAAUUACCAACGUUUAGGCUCACCCAGCCUAACCCGCAGCAGAGCAAUGUGCCUAAAGGAGACAUUAUAUGUUGGAGCUGUAACCAACCUGGACAUUUGCAACGGGAUUGCCCUGUUAAUCCUUGGACAGGGCCCUCAGCAAACUGGUUAUAGGGGUGUCCGGAGGAGCCUGAGGGGGAGAUGGAGCUACCUGUGGUGUCAUUAAAUUCAUCAAAUGAGCCCAUCAUACCUGUAGAAAUACAGGGACACGAAUAUUCAUUUAUGGUGGACACAGGUGCGACCUAUUCAUGUAUUGGAACUGAAGGUGCUGGGCUCCCCCUCUCUACAGCAUCAGUUAAGACAGUAGGCUUCUCUGGAAAAACACAAGUUAUACCCCUCACCCAGCCAGUUCCAAUGAUGGUAUCAGGAAAAUCAAUUGUUGCACCGUUGUUGUAUUCAGCCGACACCCCAAUCAAUCUUAUGGGAAGAGAUAUUUUGUGCCCUCUAAAAGCAAAAAUAAUGUGCACCCCUGAUGGACUGUAUGUGGAUUUUCCACAGGAAGAAAUACAUAGAAUGAUGCCAACUCAAACUGAAAAAGAGGUUGAACGUCAGAUGCAGCCUCUAGUCUAUUGGCUGCAGUUAACACCUGAAGAAUCCAUGCUGAAGCAGGAAUGGACAAAGUGGAAAAUCUGGGUGCAGACACAGAUGGGUGAAGUGGAGGAAGUCCGGCUGCCGUUACAUUGCACAUUACUCUUCGACGGAAAUCACCGCUUUAAGGAUUAUGAAGCCUGCUGGGAUGAACUGCUUAAUAAAAAGCCAUUUCUCAUAACCAGUGAAGACAUUUACAUUGGCCCACAAGGAGCGGCAGCAGCAGUAACCCUCCCUGAUGAAUUAAAAGACUGGUUUCAAGUGCAAAACUCUGUGCCGCAUAUCACUCUUUUGAUUGCUCAGGGACAUGAAUCUCAUGAGUUGGGGCCUAUGAUAAAGCAGGCUCUGCAGGUACCAGAAUGGGAGCCUACAGAGAAUAAAUUGAUUCAUCUAUCCAAAGAUAGACAGUUUGUCAGAAUCUCCAUGAAAAAUAGUGAUGAGAGUGUUGCAACUAAAGUAAUGCUAAAUGAAAGGCCUGUUUCUUUAAUGCCUUUGUCAGCAGAACAUGAACACCUGCUGAAGCAGGUUCCUGCCCAGCUGUGGUCAAUAAACAAAACUGAUGUGGGGAAAGUAAAGUCAGCUCAACCAGUAAAAGUAAAACUGAAGCCUGAAAUUAAGUUGCCAUACAUUAAGCAAUAUCCACUCAAGCCACAUGCCAUUGAAGGUAUCAAACCUAUAAUUGAGGGGUUGGAAAAGGCUGGUGUAUUAAUUAAAGCAACCAGCCCAUGUAACACACCUAUCUGUCCAAUUCAGAAGCCAAAUUCUAAAGAUUACAGAUUGGUGCAUGAUCUCAGAGCUAUUAACGCUAUAGUAGAAUCUGAAACACAUGUUGUUCCCGACCCCCACACAUUGCUUUCCAACAUUCCACCUGACACACGGUGGUAUACAGUAAUUGAUUUGUGUUCAGCUUUUUUCAGCAUCCCAUUGCACUCUGACUCUCAGUAUCUUUUUGCCUUCACAUACCAGAAUCAGCAGUAUGUAUACACACGUCUUCCACAAGGGUUCACUCAGAGCCCUAGUAUUUUUAAUCGGGUUUUAGCACAAGAUUUGCAACACCUAAGUGUCCCAAGUGUCGUUUUGCAGUACACUGAUGAUCUGUUGAUCUGUAGUCCAACUAAGGAGCAGUGUGAGAGAGAUUCUAUUGCUGUCUUAUCCGUACUGGCGGAGGGAGGACACAAAGUGAGUAAAGAUAAAAUUCAGUUUUGCCAACAAUCAGUGGAAUAUUUAGGAAGACAGCUGAGAGGAGAGAAAAAACUAAUUGCUCCAUCUCAAAUAGAAGCUGUGGUCAAAGCCCCUAAACCGCAAACGGUGGGGCAAAUGCUUUCGUUUCUGGGCAUGGCGGGAUACAGUCGGCCUUGGAUUUGUGAUUAUGCAUUUAAAACAGCUCCCCUGCGAGCCCUGAUAAGGGCUGCAGGACAAAAUAACUGUAAAUCUGAGCUGCAGUGGACGGAAGAAGCAUCUGCGGCCUUUGAAGCAUUGAAGGGGGACAUGCAGUCUGCCCCAGCACUGGGUAAUCCAGAUUAUUCAAAACCUUUUCACCUGUAUGUAGCCAACAGAGGGAGCUAUGCUAAUGCUGUAUUGAUGCAAGAUACACCUAUAGGGAAGCAACCUUUAGCCUACUACAGCACAAAGCUGGAUAACAUUGAGGCUGGCCUUCCACCCUGUUAUCAAGGGUUGGCAGCAGCAGCAUUUGCUUUUCAAAAAGCAGCCUCUUUAACUAUGGGUCAUCCUGUCAUCUUAUACACAUCACAUCAGCUGCAUGCGUUGCUCUCUAGCCCGAGAUUUGUUAUCACUCAGGCUAGGCGGACUGGAUAUGAGGUAAUUCUGUCCGCUCCAGAGUUAACUAUUCAAAGGUGUAAUACUGUCAAUCCAGCCUCUAGAAUGAUGCUACCUGAUGAGGGGAUUCCCCAUGAUUGUUUGCAACAAACUGAUAAAUUUAUGCGAGCACGAGAAGAUUUGUUUAAUGAACCUAUUACAGCUGAUUUAACAUUGUUUGUUGAUGGGUCCUGUUUCAGAGAUGAAAAGGGAUGCCAUGCGGGAUACGGCAUCGUUCAGCUUAAUCCUGCCAAUUCAGGUUUCACCACCUUGCAGACGCAGAAGGUUGAUCAGCCGUGUUCUGCUCAGUUAGCAGAAUUGAAGGCCUUGACUGCAGCCUGUAAGCUGGCAGCGGGUAAAAGACUUAAUGUCUACACUGAUUCAGCAUAUGCAUAUGGCGUGUGUCAUGUCAGUGCUAACAUCUGGAAACAAAGAGGCUUUCAAAGAGCUGAUGGCACACCAGUGAUACAUGGAGAAGCUGUAGCACAAUUAAUAGAAGCUUUGCAGCUUCCCAGUGCAGUGGCAGUAAUCAAAUGCCCUGCCCAUCAGAAGACAGACACCUUGAUUGCUAAAGGGAAUAACUUAGCAGAUGAAGCAGCUAAGCAGGCAGCUACAGGAGACAAAAUGGCACCAUUGUUGUUACAGGAGUCACAGGAAGCACCCUUGGUGACACUGCAAUCACUUAUUGAGGCUCAGAGUAAGGUAGAUCCACAAGAAAAAAGGUUAUGGGAAAGGAGAGGUGCAAUAAGAAGUACCAGCCCUCCACAUGAAGGGCUGUGGAGAAGCGUGCAGGGUCAGUUCGUCAUGCCAUCCUCCAUAUUGCCUAUAGCUGUACGGAAAGCGCAUGGAGUGGAUCAUUGCCACAGGAGGGAAGUUAUUAAGAGAUUGCAGGAGGUGUGGUGGUCUCCCCUUUUGAUAGCAGAAGUAAACAGAAUUUUGAACGAGUGUGAAAUAUGUGCAAAAAAUAAUGUGAGAAAAAGCUUUUCAGCACCUCUGGCACAUAUCCCACCCCCGGAUGGGCCGUUUCGACAUCUAGUGAUUGAUUUUAUUGACAUGGGGAUGGAGAAUAGGCGAGAAGGGAUGAGAUAUGUUCUUGUUGUGGUGUGUAGGUUCAGUAGGUGGGUGGAAGCAACACCCACCCGUGCACCAGACCAUAAGUCUGUGGCCAAGUUCUUGGGUAGAGAGGUUUUUCCUAGAUUUGGGUUACCGGACACCAUUUCUUCUGAUAACGGGCCACACUUUGUUUCUCAAGUCAUACAAGUGAUGUUGAAAAUGUUGGGCAUAAAACAGAAGUUUGGGUGUGUGUAUCAUCCUCAGUCACAGGGAAGUGUAGAACGGCAGAAUGGCAUUAUUAAGGCGAAAAUCACCAAAAUUAUAGCAGAUGUGGUGAAAGGAAGUGGAGAAAAGCUAAGUUGGUUGCAAGCUUUGCCUUUGGCUCUCAUGUGUAUGAGAUCUCAAACUAACAGAACUAUGUGUUUAAGUCCUCACGAGUUGCUCACAGGAAGGCCGAUGCCCCUUCCGUACUAUCGAGGGCCUUAUGAAGGCCCUUCAUUAGAGCAAUUAGAAAAUGAAAUGGGAAGUUAUUUGCGACAACUAACUAGAAUACAUAAAGUUAUCUUUCAACAGGUGAAAGGAGCCACAGCGGACCGAGACGCAGAGAUUCCUGACCAUCUGCUGACCAUACGGCCAGGCGACCAGGUGUACUUGAAAGUGAUUAAGAGAAGGUGGGACCAACCUAGAAGGGAAGGCCCGUACACAGUUAUCCUAGCAACUCCAACAGCUGUUAAAGUUGCAGGUAAGGGGGCAUGGUUUCAUUUGUCCUCCUGCACCAAGGCACCUCAGCCUGAGCCAGGAGCGUCACAAGAAAGCAGAGAGACAGAGGAGGGGGCAGGCCAAGCCGCCCCACGGGUGACGUCGCAGCCGCACGAAGGGGACGGUGCCACCUCCCCACAGGGAAUCAGGAGAUCUCAGAGACUGGCAGCGAGGCACAGCUGUAGUGAUUCAACCCACAGGGGGACCCCUCCCGACCACCAGGAGCAUCUGUGUAGUGAAGAGGGGGGGGCUCUACCAGCUGAAAGUUAACUGGUCCAGACAGAAGCCUAGUUAAAAUAGAUCCUCAAAAGAGUGGUUUAGCAAGUAGGGAUAUUUUAAUACUGAGAAGGGGUUUAAUCGGUGGGCGGUGAAAGAGGGCGAGCAGUAAGUGUAGCAGAGGGAAAAUGGAGCAGGUAGAGAGGGAUCUGAUGCAGGGCCGGGAGUGUCAGGCUGGUGUGGACCAGGUCCAAGGGGGGGGGAAUGUUAUAAACUUGAAAAUUAUGUUGAUAGCUUUCACAGCUUGGCUGGGUGUAAUAUGUUUAUACAGCGAAGGGAAGAUAAUGGGACCUGUAGGAGUUAAAAGCAACCAAAAACAGGAGUGGUUACAUGACUGCUUAUCAGCUGUAGCCGUUAUAGCAGCAGAAAAAGGUAAAUUGCCCAUGAGGCAGAAAAUUACACUGACAUACGUAAAAUCUGAUGAAUAUGGUUUGAUCAUGGUCUCCGACUUCAGGAGACUGCAGGUAAAAGCUUAUGCAAGAAGCAUGCGGUGUGACGAGGAGGGGAUGGUGACAUCACAAGUCAUAUGUGCUCCUGGGCAUUGUGUAAAUGUUCAUAAUGGGAAGGUAAUUACCAUAAAGAGAGCAUCUCCGUGGGUGAUAGUGGUUGAUAGGCAAAAGCGAGGAGUGACUCAACAGCUCACCCCGCUGACUAGCUUAAAAUCGACAACCCUAGAAUCUAAUGUUUUUUAUCAGUGGUUGAAAUUUUCAGCUAAGCUAGUGGAAAAACAGGAUUGUAUAGUUUGCCAUAAACGCAAAAUACCUCAAGUAUUGCCGAUCCCAUUUGAAGGAGUGGAGAAAUGCUUAGUUUCCCCAGGAAGGCAUUGUUUUGCUCACUGCGUGUUAUGGAAGGCCCAUACACUGGAACCAUACUGUAGAAGGAAGCAACCCCCUAAAGGUUUUAGGCGUAAAGGCAAGUGUGUGGAGGAAAAGUUAGGAGGAUGCCCUCUGCGGUUGAGCGACACUAAACAAUAUCAGAUACCGCCGGUAGUUCAUGUAGCAGUAAACACGGUGUUCCCAUUCUGCUUAGCAUCAGGAUUAGAACAGGAGAGCAUCCUGUGGAAUGACACUGUGGAAAUGGCCAACCAAUUAAUUCAAUGUGAAUAUCAUAAUUAUCUUUUUCCCCGUAGUAAACAAACUUGGAGCAUGAAAGUAUGUAACACCACUAGUCGAGCUAAAAUGCAAUGUGCUAGAGUUGUUAGUGGAGCAGGAGGAUCAGGACCAGAUGUAUAUAUUGUAGGGCAUAAUAAGUCCUAUGCCCAGUGGUUGCAUGUCUAUAAUUUAACAAAUGGCACCUAUCCAUUAGCAGAUGUGUUUUGGAUGUGUGAAGAAGACAGACGAAUUAGAUCUGUUCUAGUGCCAAAUUGGAAAGGCAUUUGUGCCCCAGUCAUGUUAACGGGUCAAAUCUAUGUGAUUCAUUUUGCAGACAAAGAAGAAAAUGGAGUUCUAAAAAGGAUUAAAAAAAACGCCAAAGCAGCUUCACAAUUCCCUUGGGAAGAACAAGCAGACAUUUACGUUACAGCCGACCGCAUGGUUAAAGGAGUUCCAGCUGAACAUCAGGCUAUAGGGGAGGCGUGGAUUGUGUCCGGCCAAGUAGCAGGGUCUAUACCUAUUGCUGGCACGAUUGUAAAUGCUCAAUACAUAGCCAAAAAUUCAAGGUGGAUAAAUUAUUUAUGGUAUAACCAACAAAGAUUUUUGAAUUGGACUAUUGCAGCCCUCCAGGGAGUUAGUGAGCAAUUACAUGCCACGUCAUUAAUGACACUGCAAAACAGGCUUUUGAUUGAAACUAUGCUAGCCGAGGAGCAGGGUGUUUGUGAUAGAUUUGGGGAUGAUUGCUGUACAGCCAUUCCCAUGCACACAGGGGAGGCGGGAAACAUUACAAAGGUCUUGGAAAACCUAAAAAGGAUAAGAAAUGACCAUGUUAAACACUCUAAUUGGAAUUCCUCGUCUUACUCUGUAUGGGAGUGGUUUCAGAGUUUAUCACUUCUUCAGUUACUUAAGUCGAUAGGCAUAGCCAUAGGCAUAAUCCUAUUAAUACUUAUGUUGCUAACCUGUUGUGUGUUUCCUUUGAUUAAGAUACUGAUCGCCAAGACCUUGAAGGCAGUGACGCAGUUUCCUGUCCGGAUAGACCAAAGUGUGGAUUUCACAGUAGCAGUGGAAUCGUCUCCUCGGGAGCCUCAGCAAGGACCAGAUUAUGCUGAUAUGUCUCAUUAUGAAUCAUUUGAUGACUUGUUAGCGUAUAUUGCCAUGGGGAGUGGAUGCGUAGAUGAAAGUGGCCCAGUUGAGGAACCGCCUUAUGGGGUUCCCUCUAACAUCCCUGCACAAGAUAAACAGUAAUGGCAGAAUCAGGAGUGAAGAUAGAGUAUUCAGACAGCCCUACUAGGCCUGGGACCAGUUCAUCACCGGAGAGACCCUUGUGGCGCCCAUCCGCAGCCAACCAGCCAGAGGUCCCGCCCGAAGUCAAAGUGGGGAAGUUUUGGCUUCAGCGGUUGGCAUCCAUUCAUCCUGCAUCCGCCCAGGGGGGCAGCCAGAGCCACAGAGGGCACCUCUCUGGACCCUAGUUCCAGAGCCACGCGCGCCUACAUCACCGAUGACACCGCCACAGUCUCCUGUCUAUUCUGGAUCCUCAACACCACCUACUCCCAGGGCCUUAACGCCAAUUCCAGAGUCUCAGAGGUCACCCAGACCGGGGCCAAGCCACUCUCAAAGCCCAUACAGACCUCCGAUCGUCGACCUUCUGUCAUUAAGCCCCGUGUCCACUGCCAGCAUGACCCAUGAGCAUUCCGGACGUGAUGAAGGGUCUACACGUUCUAACACCCCUGUCCAGGGGAGGGCAGCUGAGUCUACAGUGACAGCGUGGGGAGAUGUUGCUGAUUCCACUGUGCAAGAACACCUUAUGCAACUCCCCAAGCCUGAAUUCCAAAGAGAAAUUCGAAAGCUGCCUACAAGCUGGGCCCAGGAGAUCAAAAGGAAAAGAAAUAAUUACAAUGCCCGCUGUCAGUAUGCUCAACGCAAGCAGAUGUAUGCAACCGCCCUGCAGACCACAGAGCAAUAUGCCCAUCAUCUCAUUCGCCAAAACGAUGCGUGGGAGCGGGCUUGGGAGAGGAGCACCCACGAGUUGGGUGAGGUGAGAGUUGAGAAUGCCCGCUGCACUGAGAGGAAUGCUGAUCUGAUGCGAGAGGUGGCUGAACUACGAAAGCAAGUGAAAGGUCAGGAAGAUCAUUCCAACUUCAUCACUCGCAAGUUGUCUGAAGCCCUUCACACCAUUGGAGCCCAGAGUAAAGAGAUCCAGAGACUCACUGCUGAAAAUGUCAGGCUUCAGGUGGUCAAUGACCAACUCAUGGCUAGUAAGGGAGUUGGUGGAGAAAGUGCUCCUGCACGCCAAUCAGUGGGUGGGGAGUAAGGCCAUGAAAGGACUGAAAGUCUGGCUUGAAUGAUGCCAUAUACUGUGAUUAUGCAUAAUAUGUAACUUGAAAUAUAUAUUCAUCUCAUGUGUCUUACUUAUACAUCCUAUGCCUUAAUUAGCAGUUAACAUAUAUCUAUUAGUUGAUCUUUCUUAUUUUGAAUUCUAUCAUAAUUGAUGAUAAUCACAGUGUGUUAUGCAAGGUGCUCUGCAAUUGUGGAUGAACAAUACUAUGGCCAUGGCAGGUUGGAUUUUGUGUGUUUCAUGUCGCCUUUGCUUAGCACCUGCUGUUGAUUAUCUUGUCUGCUCAUUAAACUAUGUAAGGAGCUUGCUUUAAAGUAUAUUAGCAAAAAAACAGCACACGCCGUAGUUAGAUAUUCACCAUUUUUGUUUUUCAUAUUAUGGGGUUUUUAGGUGGUACCUCCAGGUACCACAGGGGGGAAUGUAGUGGAUUUUUGUAUGACAUGUAUACCUAUAAAUCUAACAUGAUGGAUUUUUGUACCUAUAUAUCUAUCUGAAUAUAUAUAUUCUAACUUUCAUGUGGAGUUUUAGGCAUGCAGUGGUUCACACACACACACACACCCACACAAACACACACACACACCCACAAGUCAUGCAGCACACUCAUGAGGCAUAUCUUCACUGUCCUGUACACACACACACACUAUAAACCUACACUGGAGUGUUUUAUUUUUAUGUUAUGCAUUUAACUCAUAUAUUUGAUGUAGUUAGGCCAAGUAUUAUUCACAUUAAUAUCAUAAUUAUCUUUUAUAAACUAUGCUAUUUGCUGUACUAAUGUGUGACCUUUGACCACGUUGUGACCUAUUGUCAGAGGGUAAAGCAAAGGGUUAACCUAGGGGUGUCAUUUUGGACCGGGCGUUCAGCCAGCGCCCGGUGUGAACUCUGGCCGGCAUUUGACCCUGCACCUGCUCCUGGGUGCGUGGGAAAGUUACUCAGCAGCAGGAGGUGGGACUACUGGUACCUUUAAAAGGGGGCCGGGGACAGCCCUCUGGGCUUUUUCCUGCUGUCUGUCCGUGGGGUCGGUCCCUACCUGCAUGCGCUUACUGCGAACACCCUAGGGGAGCUUUGCUUUUCCCUCUGUUUUGCUGAGCUACACUGUUCAAUAAAACAGCUGGCAUAGAA
Oreochromis niloticus (Nile tilapia) is the source of this 9272-nucleotide RNA transcript. It is a transcript of the gene named protein NYNRIN, with no coding region annotated. The record is from RefSeq and is a predicted model, not a curated record. The transcript has 2 exons. Lineage: Eukaryota; Metazoa; Chordata; Actinopteri; Cichliformes; Cichlidae.